RNAcentral lists this ribosomal RNA (253 nucleotides) under uncultured bacterium. Its description in RNAcentral is "partial 16S ribosomal RNA". It matches the Rfam family "Bacterial small subunit ribosomal RNA", at positions 99 to 353 of the family's 1533-position model. The record is from RNAcentral.
CGGACGGGUGAGUAAUGCUUGGGAAUCUAGCUUAUGGAGGGGGAUAACUACGGGAAACUGUAGCUAAUACCGCGUAGUAUCGAGAGAUGAAAGUGUGGGACCUUCGGGCCACAUGCCAUAGGAUGAGCCCAAGUGGGAUUAGGUAGUUGGUGAGGUAAAGGCUCACCAAGCCGACGAUCUCUAGCUGGUCUGAGAGGAUGACCAGCCACACUGGGACUGAGGCACGGCCCAGACUCCUACGGGAGGCAGCAUG